This 455-nucleotide ribosomal RNA is filed under the name uncultured cyanobacterium. RNAcentral's name for it is "bacterial SSU rRNA". It matches the Rfam family "Bacterial small subunit ribosomal RNA", at positions 341 to 810 of the family's 1533-position model. The record is from RNAcentral. Lineage: Bacteria; Bacillati; Cyanobacteriota.
AUUGUAUCCACGAUUGGGGAAUUUUCCGCAAUGGGCGAAAGCCUGACGGAGCAAUACCGCGUGAGGGAGGAAGGCCUGUGGGUUGUAAACUCCUUUUCUCAGGGAAGAAGAUCUGACGGUACCUGAGGAAUAAGCUCCGGCUAACUAUGUGCCAGCAGCCGCGGUAAUACAUAGGGAGCAAGCGUUAUCCGGAAUGAUUGGGCGUAAAGCGUCUGUAGGUGGUUCAAAAAGUCUACUGUCAAAUACGUUGGCUCAACCAACGGCAGGCAUUAGAGUACUAUUGAACUAGAGUAUGGUAGAGGUAGAGGGAAUCCCUAGCGUAACAGUGAAAUGUGUAGAUUUUAGGGAGAACACCAGCGGCGAAGGCGCUCUACUGGGCCAUUACUGACACUGAGAGACGAAAGCUAAGGGAGCGAAAGGGAUUAGAUACCCCUGUAGUCAAUCGUGGAUACAAU